GACGAACGCUGGCGGCGUGCUUAACACAUGCAAGUCGAACGGUGAAGCUCCAGCUUGCUGGAGUGGAUCAGUGGCGAACGGGUGAGUAACACGUGAGCAACCUGCCCCUGACUCUGGAAUAAGCGCUGGAAACGGCGUCUAAUACUGGAUACGAGAAGGGUCCGCAUGGGCACUUUCUGGAAAGUUUUUCGGUUGGGGAUGGGCUCGCGGCCUAUCAGCUUGUUGGUGAGGUAAUGGCUCACCAAGGCGACGACGGGUAGCCGGCCUGAGAGGGCGACCGGCCACACUGGGACUGGGACACGGCCCAGACUCCUACGGGAGGCAGCAGUGGGGAAUAUUGCACAAUGGGCGAAAGCCUGAUGCAGCGACGCCGCGUGGGGGAUGACGGCCUUCGGGUUGUAAACCUCUUUCAGCAGGGAAGAAGCGAAAGGGACGGUACCUGCAGAAGAAGCACCGGCUAACUACGG
RNAcentral lists this ribosomal RNA (467 nucleotides) under uncultured bacterium. RNAcentral describes it as "partial 16S ribosomal RNA". It matches the Rfam family "Bacterial small subunit ribosomal RNA", at positions 28 to 506 of the family's 1533-position model. The record is from RNAcentral.